CUAAACCCUAAACCCUAAACCCUAAACCCUAAACCCUAAACCCUAAACCCUAAACCCUAAACCCUAAACCCUAAACCCUAAACCCUAAACCCUAAACCCUAAACCCCAAACCCGAAACCCGAAACCUUAAACUCUAAAGCCCUAAACCCUAAUCCCAGAGAAAAGAACUGACAAGACCCCUCUGCUCGCGCCUCGAGUCGUUUGAACCGACGAAACGCUCGCGCUCGCCACUUCGGUCCUCCUCCUCCUCCGCCGCGCCCCACUUCCGUCGUCGCGUGGCGCGAGUCGUCGCGCGCGCGGCCGCCGCGGCGUCAUGGAGACGCUCGUCCGCGCGGUGCCGCCCGCGCUCCGCGCGCGCAUCGGCGCGAAGCGCGCGCCGCCCUCGGAUCGAGAUCGCGGUCGCGGCGAGCCGUCGACGGAGUCGAUGAGCGCCGAUUGCGACGAAGAAGAGGGCACCCUCGCGUUCGCCGCGCGCGCGGUCGCCGACGCGCUCGCGGACGCGGACGCGUUCGAGCGCGCGCGCCGCGAGCUCACGAACGCUCGCGGCGCCGCCGCGANNN
This 560-nucleotide long non-coding RNA is filed under the name Micromonas pusilla. Its description in RNAcentral is "long non-coding RNA (MPUS_LNC000146)". The record is from RNAcentral. Lineage: Eukaryota; Viridiplantae; Chlorophyta; Mamiellophyceae; Mamiellales; Mamiellaceae.